RNAcentral lists this ribosomal RNA (254 nucleotides) under uncultured bacterium. RNAcentral describes it as "partial 16S ribosomal RNA". It matches the Rfam family "Bacterial small subunit ribosomal RNA", at positions 15 to 264 of the family's 1533-position model. The record is from RNAcentral.
GAUACUGGCUCAGGACGAACGCUGGCGGCGCGCCUAACACAUGCAAGUCGAACGGAGCUUAAAGAGCUUGCUUUUUAAGCUUAGUGGCGAACGGGUGAGUAACGCGUGAGUAACCUGCCCUGGAGUGGGGGACAACAGUUGGAAACGACUGCUAAUACCGCAUAAGCCCACGGCCCGGCAUCGGGCUGCGGGAAAAGGAUUUAUUCGCUUCAGGAUGGACUCGCGUCCAAUUAGCUAGUUGGUGAGGUAACGGG